RNAcentral lists this long non-coding RNA (205 nucleotides) under Elaeis guineensis (African oil palm). RNAcentral describes it as "long non-coding RNA (EGUI_LNC015145)". The record is from RNAcentral. Lineage: Eukaryota; Viridiplantae; Streptophyta; Magnoliopsida; Arecales; Arecaceae.
GCACGAUCAGUAUCUAGAAGGAGAAGGAUCAAAGGAGCAAGGGAGGUCUUUUAGGCUUGGUCUUAUAGCACAAGGGAUGCCCUAUUGCAAAAUAGGGACAUUGAGCCAUGCUCGAGAUCAAUUACCAUCGAGCGGCUAGAUUUGAUGAGUAUGCUAGCAACCCUGAGUGCUCCAUAGGGUGAGUGAAAGGAGGGUGGGGGGAGAG